AACGAACGCUGGCGGCAGGCUUAACACAUGCAAGUCGAGCGCCCCGCAAGGGGAGCGGCAGACGGGUGAGUAACGCGUGGGAACGUACCCUUUGCUACGGAAUAGCUCCGGGAAACUGGAAUUAAUACCGUAUGUGCCCUACGGGGGAAAGAUUUAUCGGCAAAGGAUCGGCCCGCGUUGGAUUAGCUAGUUGGUGGGGUAAUGGCCUACCAAGGCGACGAUCCAUAGCUGGUCCGAGAGGAUGAUCAGCCACAUUGGGACUGAGACACGGCCCAAACUCCUACGGGAGGCAGCAGUGGGGAAUAUUGGACAAUGGGCGCAAGCCUGAUCCAGCCAUGCCGGGUGAGUGAUGAAGGCCUUAGGGUUGUAAAGCUCUUUCACCGGAGAAGAUAAUGACGGUAUCCGGAGAAGAAGCCCCGGCUAACUUCGUGCCAGCCGCCGCGGUAA
RNAcentral lists this ribosomal RNA (447 nucleotides) under uncultured bacterium. Its description in RNAcentral is "partial 16S ribosomal RNA". It matches the Rfam family "Bacterial small subunit ribosomal RNA", at positions 29 to 523 of the family's 1533-position model. The record is from RNAcentral.